AUAUAUAAUGACUCCUUGGAGAUUGUUUCACUACUGAGACAGUCAUAUUAUCAACAAAGCAUCACACCUUUAUUAUCAUAGCGCUUAUCUCAAAUAAACCAUUGGUAUAAAAAAUGUAAAAAUCACAAUUAGAAAACACAGUUACCAGAAAUGAUUAAAUGCAAAUGUACUUUCAAAUGCUGCCAUGUUUAGCUUGUACAACUCAUUUAUUAAAAACAGACAGUGCAGUUCUUUGCAACAUAACACAUUUAGACACCAUUCAUGAAGCAAAAAUAAAUAAAUCCAUGGGUCGGUUUAAAGCUGGAAUUCAUGCAUUUCAUAUACAUACUCUAUCAGGCUCAAAAUUACAAAGAUGAGUUAACUAGUAAGGCUAAACUGCAUCACCUCUCAAAUGCACAUGUUGACAGAAUAGAUUACAUUGCAUGUAAUCUGUCUGUAUGUUAUCAGAGGCCAGAUCUGAGUGGAUUUCAGAAGAUGUUUCUUGGUGGAUGAUCUUGUGAAGGAACACCAGUGUAGAACCUGGGGAACGUAGAGAACACUCUAUUCUGUUCAGGCACACUGACAGACGGCUCCUCACUUGACCCUAUGACAGAAAGGUGGUUAGUUUAACAUUUCUGAUUAUGCAAUAUGUGACGAGAUCAUAUCCCCCACAGCUAGAUAACAUCCCAAUGAGCUCAUUGGCCAGACACUUCAGUAAAUUCAGAAGUCAAGUACAUGACUGCAAAGAAACAUUCAUUAUUUGAUGCCAUUAGUACCUUGAUCAGUGCCCCAGUUGUUUUGAGAUGGAGGGAUGUCUUCCUUCUCAUCAGGACCCAAGUCCUCAAUCAGCACCUGGUCCAGGGUGUCACUACCCUGGUCACUGCCUUCUGUGUACAGGGUCUCCAACAGGGAUGGUGCAGGGGCAGUAACAGGGUUAUACAUUGGAGAAGGGGCAACAACAGCCACAGGAGCAGGGGCAAGGAUAGGGAUAGGGUCUGAGACGGGGGGAACGUACGCCGGUAGUGAUUCUGGCGGGCCAGGGUCCACCGGAAGGAAUGGGGAUAGUGAGAUCAAGGUAGGGGCAGGGGUGACUUCCACUGGUUUGGACACCACCUUUACAAUGACAGCCUCCUGUUCUGGCUCUUCCUGGGAAGCCGGGAGCUCCGGUGUUGGAUCAGUCUUCCUCGGCCUUCCUCGUCUUCCCGAGCUACUCUUCUCCUCUCUUCCCCUCGCUCUCUUCCUCCUGCUCUCUACCCUGAAGUCAGACAAAUAGAAAUGUAAUCGUGGGUCGUCAUUAU
Oncorhynchus tshawytscha (Chinook salmon) is the source of this 1277-nucleotide long non-coding RNA. Lineage: Eukaryota; Metazoa; Chordata; Actinopteri; Salmoniformes; Salmonidae. The record is from Ensembl.